This 400-nucleotide unclassified non-coding RNA is filed under the name soil metagenome. Its description in RNAcentral is "partial contains 5.8S ribosomal RNA, internal transcribed spacer 2, and large subunit ribosomal RNA". The stretch from base 1 to 122 matches the Rfam family "5.8S ribosomal RNA", at positions 35 to 154 of the family's 154-position model. The record is from RNAcentral.
GAUGAAGAACGUAGCGAAAUGCGAUACUUGGUGUGAAUUGCAGAAUCCCGUGAACCAUCGAGUCUUUGAACGCAAGUUGCGCCUCAAGCCAUUAUGUUGAGGGCACGUCUGCCUGGGCGUCACAUAUCGUUGCCUGAUGCCAGUUUCCUCGUGAUGGGUGACUGUGCAGGGCGAAUGAUGGCUUCCCGUGAGCAUUGUUGCCUCAUGGUUGGUUGAAAAUUGAGUCCUUGGUAGGGAGCGCCGUGAUAGAUGGUGGUUGAGUGACGAACGAGACCCAAUCAUGUGAGACCCCUACCGAAUUUGGCCUUCAUGACCCACAUGCGUCUUUGGAACGCUCAUGACGAGACCUCAGGUCAGGCGGGGCUACCCGCUGAGUUUAAGCAUAUCAAUAAGCGGAGGA